UCGGUUGAUAUUCCGAUACCACCUAUUUACGUUUGAGAAAUGGGGUGACGCAGUAGGAUAAGAUGUGCGCACUAUUGGAUGUGCGUCUAAGCACUUAGGCAUGCUUGAUAGGCAAAUCCGUCGAGCUAAGCUGAGGUGUGAUGGGGAGCCAUUUAUGGCGAAGUAUCUGAUUCCACACUGCCAAGAAAAGCCUCUAUCGAGUGAAUAGGUGCCCGUACCCCAAACCGACACAGGUAGGUGAGGAGAGAAUCCUAAG
Molecule: ribosomal RNA, 256 nt
Filed under: Vibrio parahaemolyticus
Lineage: Bacteria; Pseudomonadati; Pseudomonadota; Gammaproteobacteria; Vibrionales; Vibrionaceae
Description: partial 23S ribosomal RNA
Rfam family: Bacterial large subunit ribosomal RNA
Source: RNAcentral